Non-coding RNA from Pelobates cultripes (western spadefoot toad), 757 nucleotides. NCBI's taxonomy places the organism in Eukaryota, Metazoa, Chordata, Amphibia, Anura, Pelobatidae. The record is from the annotation of a GenBank genome assembly.
CGGUGGUAUCCUUCCUCCGGAGUCGUGGAGUACGUCUGAUCAUCUAUUUGGACGACAUCUUGCUGAUGGCCCAAUCAAGAGAAUUACUGACGAUUCAUGUAUCGUGGACUACGUCCUUACUCCAGAACCUAGGUUUUCUCAUCAAUUGGGAGAAGUCGGUAUUAGACCCCACCCAAUCGAUAGAAUUUCUGGGGUUUACAGUGGACUCCGUCCAACAAUUCCUGUUCCUUCCGGAGUCCAAGAUGAAGGCGAUCAAGAAGGAGAUCAGAAGUACACUGCGUGCAGACGACAUCUCUAUCCGACAUCUGGCGAGGGUAAUCGGCCUCUUGGCCGCCUCGAUACAAGCAAUUUUCCCUGGCCCUCUCCAUUACUGGGCCCUUCAACGCUUAAAAGGCUCUCACCUACAUGCCGGACACUCUUAUGAACAGAGAGUGAGACUCGACGACGAGUCCAGAGACGAGCUGACCUGGUGGCUGGCCCACAUGGACGCCUGGAACGGGAGAGCCAUAUUCGGUUCUGUCCCGGACAUCGUGAUAGAGUCAGAUGCCAGCUUACACGGCUGGGGCGCGCGUUGUGGUGCCGCAUCUACUGGAGGCAGAUGGUCGAAUCAGGAGCGAACACUCCAUAUCAACUGUCUGGAGCCAUUGGCAGGUGCAUUCGCUAUUCGCAGCCUCACGCCGGAACGGGCGAAUUGUUGCGUGAUGCUCAAGAUGGACAAUGUGUCAGCGGUCCGAUACAUCAAUCACCUGGGAGGCAC